UACGGAAGGCAGCAGUGGGGAAUAUUGCACAAUGGGCGCAAGCCUGAUGCAGCCAUGCCGCGUGUAUGAAGAAGGCCUUCGGGUUGUAAAGUACUUUUCAGUCGUGAGGAAGGUGUUAAGGUUAAUAACCUUAGCAAUUGACGUUAGCGACAGAAGAAGCACCGGCUAACUCCGUGCCAGCAGCCGCGGUAAUACGGAGGGUGCGAGCGUUAAUCGGAAUUACUGGGCGUAAAGGGCACGCAGGCGGUUAAUUAAGUUGGAUGUGAAAUCCCCGGGCUUAACCUGGGAAUGGCAUUCAAGACUGGUUAGCUAGAGUCUUGUAGAGGGGGUAGAAUUCCGAUGUGUAGCGGUGAAAUGCGUAGAGAUGUGGAGGAAUACCGGUGCGAAGGCGGCCCCUGGGACAAAGGCUGACGCUCAUGUGCGAAAGCGUGGGGAGCAAAC
Molecule: ribosomal RNA, 441 nt
Filed under: uncultured bacterium
Lineage: Bacteria
Description: bacterial SSU rRNA
Rfam family: Bacterial small subunit ribosomal RNA
Source: RNAcentral